RNAcentral lists this ribosomal RNA (425 nucleotides) under uncultured bacterium. Its description in RNAcentral is "bacterial SSU rRNA". It matches the Rfam family "Bacterial small subunit ribosomal RNA", at positions 354 to 796 of the family's 1533-position model. The record is from RNAcentral.
GUGGGGGAUAUUGCACAAUGGAGGAAACUCUGAUGCAGCAACGCCGCGUGAGGGAAGAAGGAUUUCGGUUUGUAAACCUCUGUCAUUGGUGACGAUAAUGACGGUAGCCGAUGAGGAAGCUCCGGCUAACUACGUGCCAGCAGCCGCGGUAAUACGUAGGGAGCGAGCGUUGUCCGGAAUUACUGGGUGUAAAGGGUGCGUAGGCGGGGGACCAAGUCAGGUGUGAAAACUAUCGGCUUAACCGGUAGCCUGCACUUGAAACUGGCCCUCUUGAGUGAAGUAGAGGCAGGCGGAAUUCCCGGUGUAGCGGUGAAAUGCGUAGAGAUCGGGAGGAACACCAGUGGCGAAGGCGGCCUGCUGGGCUUUAACUGACGCUGAGGCACGAAAGCAUGGGUAGCAAACAGGAUUAGAAACCCCUGUAGUCC